AUACGGAAGGUCCGGGCGUUAUCCGUAUUUAUUGGGUUUAAAGGGAGCGCAGGCGGAGAUGCAAGCGUGUCGUCAAAUUUCGGGGCUCAACCCCGUCUCGCGUCGCGAACUGCGUCACUUGUGUGCGGGGAGGGGAGUCGGAACACGUGGUGGAGCGGGGAAAUGCAUAGAUAUCACGAAGAACUCCGAUCGCGAAGGCAGCCUUCCGGCCCGUCAACGACGCUCAUGCUCGAAGGUGCGGGUAUCAAACAGGAUUAGAUACACUGGUAGUCCGCACAGUAAACGAUGGACACCCGCGGUUUGGCCUAUAUGGCUGAGCCGCCAAGCGAAAGCGUUAAGUGUCCCACCUGGGGAGUACGCCGGCAACGGUGAAACUCAAAUGAAUUGACGGGG
Molecule: ribosomal RNA, 393 nt
Filed under: uncultured bacterium
Lineage: Bacteria
Description: partial 16S ribosomal RNA
Rfam family: Bacterial small subunit ribosomal RNA
Source: RNAcentral